Long non-coding RNA from Tigriopus californicus, 1149 nucleotides. RefSeq lists it as uncharacterized. The record is from RefSeq and is a predicted model, not a curated record. The transcript has 3 exons. Lineage: Eukaryota; Metazoa; Arthropoda; Copepoda; Harpacticoida; Harpacticidae.
UAAAUCUAAUUGAACAAAGAGCUGUUUUAGCACACCAAUCAGGGUUAAAGAUGGAGCGACAAAGAGAGAGGUAUUUUUUUAGAGCGAGAUUGUGGUCAUAUCGAUUUUCGGGUUGGUUGGUGAUUUAGACCAUCGAGAAUUGUGACUUAAAUUAGACAAUGACAUUCGUUGGUUUAGCGGAACACCUCUUCUAAGUAUAUUUUUCACGAUGUGGGGACGAGGAUGUUAAAGGUGUCCAAAAAUGUCAUUGGAUUUGAACGAUUUCUUUUGUCAGUGGAAUGUUUCUUUCAAUUUGUUUCUUUUUCUAACUUGAAGAUGCUUUUUUAAGUCAGACGCACACACGGGAAAUAGCUUUUUUAGAGUCCAUAAACCACCAAGAAAAUUUUGUUUCUCUUCCAGAAGUAGUUCAGUUUUGGAAAUGCUGGUAAUUGUUGUUGUUGUAAUGGUAGUAGAAGUAAUAAUGAUAAUAAUAGCAAUAGUAGUUAGAUGAUAUCCAUGCACAUUGAAAGUGUGGUCGGAGAUUUAAAGAGAUGAUAGUUGUAGUAAUAGCGGUAGUAGCAGUAGUGGUUGUUGUAGUAGUAGCAGUAGUAGUAGUUGUAGUAGUAGUAGUCGUAUUAGUAUAUAGUAAAUAUAUAAUAUGAUGGACUAUUAAGCAAGCAUGACAGGCGUGCCAUUCACCAUCCAAGAGCACAACAACAGAAGAAGCAGCUUCGUUCGGAGUAUCGAAAGGCCCAUGGGCCAUAUGGGGAAUACGGUUCACCCUUGUCUCCUCCAGGCCUAUUAGGCUAAGUAAACUAGGCAUGAAAGGUGAAUGCACCCACAAAGAGAUACGUUGUACGAACUAACGACCUUCAGCAAGCCAAUUCCAAAUGUCCACGAGUUUCGUCUAGGUGAACCAUAUUCCCCGGCCUUUCAAAGCGAAAGCUGGGAUUCCAAACUCGUUGCGAACUUCUGCUCGGCAGUGCGAUAUUAAAGAAGAGGCCAAGGGGCGUGGCACCACUUACCAAAUUUAGCCAAAUAUUUGUGAAUGGAAAAAUAAUGUCUGCUGCGACUUUCUCCUUCGGCUCGUGACGAGGAGAACAAAAUACCACUUGACAAGCACCCGGGAUCCAACACGAGCCGACUCUUGGUCCUAGUCCGUACUAUGUA